RNAcentral lists this ribosomal RNA (253 nucleotides) under uncultured bacterium. RNAcentral's name for it is "partial 16S ribosomal RNA". It matches the Rfam family "Bacterial small subunit ribosomal RNA", at positions 524 to 776 of the family's 1533-position model. The record is from RNAcentral.
UACGAAGGGAGCUAGCGUUGUUCGGAAUCACUGGGCGUAAAGCGCACGUAGGCGGAUUUGUCAGUCAGGGGUGAAAUCCCGGGGCUCAACCUCGGAACUGCCUUUGAUACAGCACGUCUCGAGUCCGGAAGAGGUGGGUGGAAUUCCUAGUGUAGAGGUGAAAUUCGUAGAUAUUAGGAAGAACACCGGUGGCGAAGGCGGCCCACUGGUCCGGUACUGACGCUGAGGUGCGAAAGCGUGGGGAGCAAACAGG